GUNAGUAACGCGUAUGCAACCUGUCCGUUACAGGGGGAUAGCCCNUGGAAACGUGGAUUAACACUCCAUAAUAUAAUAUAGAGGCAUCUUUGUAUUAUUAAAUAUUUAUAGGUAACGGUUGGGCAUGCGUCCUAUUAGAUAGUUGGGGGGGUAACGGCCCACCAAGUCGAUGAUAGGUAGGGGUUCUGAGAGGAAGGUCCCCCACACUGGUACUGAGACACGGACCAGACUCCUACGGGAGGCAGCAGUGAGGAAUAUUGGUCAAUGGGCGAGAGCCUGAACCAGCCAAGUCGCGUGAGGGAUGACUGCCCUAUGGGUUGUAAACCUCUUUUGUAUGGGGGGAAUAAGCUUUACGAGUAGAGUGAUGACAGUACCAUACGAAUAAGCAUCGGCUAACUCCGUGCCAGCAGCCGCGGUAAUACGGAGGAUGCGAGCGUUAUCCGGAUUUAUUGGGUUUAAAGGGUGCGUAGGCGGCAUUAUAAGUUAGUGGUAAAAUAUUGGGGCUUCACCUCACUACGCCAUUAAUACUGUAGAGCUAGAGAACAGACGAGGUAGGCGGAAUAAGUUAAGUAGCGGUGAAAUGCAUAGAUAUAACUUAGAACACCGAUAGCGAAGGCAGCUUACCAGACUGAGUCUGACGCUGAUGCACGAGAGCAUGGGUAGCGAACAGGAUUAGAUACCCUGGUAGU
RNAcentral lists this ribosomal RNA (689 nucleotides) under uncultured bacterium. Its description in RNAcentral is "bacterial SSU rRNA". It matches the Rfam family "Bacterial small subunit ribosomal RNA", at positions 106 to 794 of the family's 1533-position model. The record is from RNAcentral.